GGAGCUGUGGCUCAGUGGUAGAGCAUUUUCUUGGCAAGCAAAAGGUCCCAGGUUCAAUCCCUGGCAGCUCCA
Molecule: non-coding RNA, 72 nt
Organism: Euleptes europaea (tarantolino)
Lineage: Eukaryota; Metazoa; Chordata; Lepidosauria; Squamata; Sphaerodactylidae
Source: the annotation of a RefSeq genome assembly